Molecule: ribosomal RNA, 2792 nt
Filed under: Serratia rubidaea
Lineage: Bacteria; Pseudomonadati; Pseudomonadota; Gammaproteobacteria; Enterobacterales; Yersiniaceae
Description: 23S ribosomal RNA
Rfam family: Bacterial large subunit ribosomal RNA
Source: RNAcentral
UUAAGUGACUAAGCGUACACGGUGGAUGCCUAGGCAGUCAGAGGCGAUGAAGGGCGUGCUAAUCUGCGAAAAGCGUCGGUAAGGUGAUAUGAACCGUUANAACCGACGAUACCCGAAUGGGGAAACCCAGUGUGUUUCGACACACUAUCCUGUCAUGAAUACAUAGUGGCAGGAGGCGAACCGGGGGAACUGAAACAUCUAAGUACCCCGAGGAAAAGAAAUCAACCGAGAUUCCCCCAGUAGCGGCGAGCGAACGGGGAACAGCCCAGAACCUGAAUCGGCUUGUGUGUCAGUGGAAGCGUCUGGAAAGUCGCACAGUAAAGGGUGAUAGUCCCGUACACGAAGAUGCACAGGUCGUGAGUUCGAUGAGUAGGGCGGGACACGUGUUAUCCUGUCUGAAUAUGGGGGGACCAUCCUCCAAGGCUAAAUACUCCUGACUGACCGAUAGUGAACCAGUACCGUGAGGGAAAGGCGAAAAGAACCCCGGCGAGGGGAGUGAAAUAGAACCUGAAACCGUGUACGUACAAGCAGUGGGAGCAUCCUUCGGGGUGUGACUGCGUACCUUUUGUAUAAUGGGUCAGCGACUUAUAUUUUGUAGCAAGGUUAACCGAAUAGGGGAGCCGUAGGGAAACCGAGUCUUAACUGGGCGUCUAGUUGCAAGGUAUAGACCCGAAACCCGGUGAUCUAGCCAUGGGCAGGUUGAAGGUUGGGUAACACUAACUGGAGGACCGAACCGACUAAUGUUGAAAAAUUAGCGGAUGACUUGUGGCUGGGGGUGAAAGGCCAAUCAAACCGGGAGAUAGCUGGUUCUCCCCGAAAGCUAUUUAGGUAGCGCCUCGUGAACUCAUCUUCGGGGGUAGAGCACUGUUUCGGCUAGGGGGCCAUCCCGGCUUACCAAACCGAUGCAAACUCCGAAUACCGAAGAAUGUUAUCACGGGAGACACACGGCGGGUGCUAACGUCCGUCGUGAAGAGGGAAACAACCCAGACCGCCAGCUAAGGUCCCAAAGUCAUGGUUAAGUGGGAAACGAUGUGGGAAGGCACAGACAGCCAGGAUGUUGGCUUAGAAGCAGCCAUCAUUUAAAGAAAGCGUAAUAGCUCACUGGUCGAGUCGGCCUGCGCGGAAGAUGUAACGGGGCUAAACCAUGCACCGAAGCUGCGGCAGCGACGCUUAGGCGUUGUUGGGUAGGGGAGCGUUCUGUAAGCCGUUGAAGGUGGCCUGCGAGGGUUGCUGGAGGUAUCAGAAGUGCGAAUGCUGACAUAAGUAACGAUAAAGCGGGUGAAAAACCCGCUCGCCGGAAGACCAAGGGUUCCUGUCCAACGUUAAUCGGGGCAGGGUGAGUCGACCCCUAAGGCGAGGCUGAAAAGCGUAGUCGAUGGGAAACAGGUUAAUAUUCCUGUACUUGGUGUUACUGCGAAGGGGGGACGGAGAAGGCUAGGCUAGCCGAGCGACGGUUGUCUCGGUUUAAGCGUGUAGGGGGNAAAUCGUACCCCAAACCGACACAGGUGGUCAGGUAGAGAAUACCAAGGCGCUUGAGAGAACUCGGGUGAAGGAACUAGGCAAAAUGGUGCCGUAACUUCGGGAGAAGGCACGCUGGCGCGUAGGUGAAGUCCCUUGCGGAUGGAGCUGAAGCCAGUCGCAGAUACCAGCUGGCUGCAACUGUUUAAUAAAAACACAGCACUGUGCAAACACGAAAGUGGACGUAUACGGUGUGACGCCUGCCCGGUGCCGGAAGGUUAAUUGAUGGGGUUAUCCGUAAGGAGAAGCUCUUGAUCGAAGCCCCGGUAAACGGCGGCCGUAACUAUAACGGUCCUAAGGUAGCGAAAUUCCUUGUCGGGUAAGUUCCGACCUGCACGAAUGGCGUAAUGAUGGCCAGGCUGUCUCCACCCGAGACUCAGUGAAAUUGAACUCGCUGUGAAGAUGCAGUGUACCCGCGGCAAGACGGAAAGACCCCGUGAACCUUUACUAUAGCUUGACACUGAACAUUGAGCCUUGAUGUGUAGGAUAGGUGGGAGGCUUUGAAGUGUGGACGCCAGUCUGCAUGGAGCCAUCCUUGAAAUACCACCCUUUAAUGUUUGAUGUUCUAACUCUGCCCCAUAAUCUGGGGUGAGGACAGUGUCUGGUGGGUAGUUUGACUGGGGCGGUCUCCUCCCAAAGAGUAACGGAGGAGCACGAAGGUUAGCUAAUCACGGUCGGACAUCGUGAGGUUAGUGCAAAGGCAUAAGCUAGCUUGACUGCGAGAGUGACGGCUCGAGCAGGUGCGAAAGCAGGUCUUAGUGAUCCGGUGGUUCUGAAUGGAAGGGCCAUCGCUCAACGGAUAAAAGGUACUCCGGGGAUAACAGGCUGAUACCGCCCAAGAGUUCAUAUCGACGGCGGUGUUUGGCACCUCGAUGUCGGCUCAUCACAUCCUGGGGCUGAAGUAGGUCCCAAGGGUAUGGCUGUUCGCCAUUUAAAGUGGUACGCGAGCUGGGUUUAGAACGUCGUGAGACAGUUCGGUCCCUAUCUGCCGUGGGCGUUGGAAGAUUGAGAGGGGUUGCUCCUAGUACGAGAGGACCGGAGUGAACGCACCACUGGUGUUCGGGUUGUCAUGCCAAUGGCACUGCCCGGUAGCUAAGUGCGGAAAAGAUAAGCGCUGAAAGCAUCUAAGCGCGAAACUUGCCUCAAGAUGAGUCUUCCCUGGGACUUCGAGUCCCCUGAAGGAACGUUUAAGACUAAGACGUUGAUAGGCUGGGUGUGUAAGUGCAGCGAUGCAUUGAGCUAACCAGUACUAAUGAACCGUGAGGCUUAACCUU